CCUGAUCCAGCCAUGCCGCGUGAGUGAUGAAGGCCCUAGGGUUGUAAAGCUCUUUUGUGCGGGAAGAUAAUGACGGUACCGCAAGAAUAAGCCCCGGCUAACUUCGUGCCAGCAGCCGCGGUAAUACGAAGGGGGCUAGCGUUGCUCGGAAUCACUGGGCGUAAAGGGUGCGUAGGCGGGUCUUUAAGUCAGGGGUGAAAUCCUGGAGCUCAACUCCAGAACUGCCUUUGAUACUGAAGAUCUUGAGUUCGGGAGAGGUGAGUGGAACUGCGAGUGUAGAGGUGAAAUUCGUAGAUAUUCGCAAGAACACCAGUGGCGAAGGCGGCUCACUGGCCCGAUACUGACGCUGAGGCACGAAAGCGUGGGGAGCAAACAGGAUUAGAUUCCCUGGUAGUCCACGCCGUAAACGAUGAAUGCCAGCCGUUAGUGGGUUUACUCACUAGUGGCGCAGCUAACGCUUUAAGCAUUCCGCCUGGGGAGUACGGUCGCAAGAUUA
Molecule: ribosomal RNA, 496 nt
Filed under: uncultured Pseudomonadota bacterium
Lineage: Bacteria; Pseudomonadati; Pseudomonadota
Description: bacterial SSU rRNA
Rfam family: Bacterial small subunit ribosomal RNA
Source: RNAcentral